Non-coding RNA from Nothobranchius furzeri (turquoise killifish), 4832 nucleotides. The record is from RefSeq and is a predicted model, not a curated record. Lineage: Eukaryota; Metazoa; Chordata; Actinopteri; Cyprinodontiformes; Nothobranchiidae.
CUCGCGCUGCUGCGAACUGGUUCCGCCGUCACAUUCCUGCAGAAACUGGUUGAUCACACCGGGGCCAGACUACUAGCAUGUGGUUUUACAACCACAAUGUCCUCAGAAGCGAAAACGCUUUUAAAAGGGAGGGAGGAGUCCUAACUGUUGCUGCAGGCGAGUUGUGCGAGAGUGCAGUUAUAUACUGGUUAAAGGCAAGGUCCGUAAGAUUUAAAUGUAGCAUAACUUUAAAAAUGUUUGAUUUUGACCAUCUGACCCAAUUUUAUUAAAAAAAGUAAAUAAUCUUUAAUAUUUAAAUUUUCUCCUAAGUCACUCCCCUGUCCUGUAGAGCUCAGCCAAUAUUUCUGCAAGCCUAACGCCGGGGACACAUCGGCCGCGAAGCGAAUCGCUCACGAAAUUCAGCCGCUGCUCGCCGCUCCUCAGUUCAGAUCAGACGCGCCCCAGUCGAGGCGCGCCUCGGCUCAGCUGUAGUUUUUCUUUUAAACACUUGGUGUCCUCCAUUUCCUCUCUGCCUUUUCUCAGCUCUUUUCCUCUACGUUUGAGUGUUUGUACGUGUGUGUGAACCUAUGGUAUGAGUUGUUUCUGCCAGUUGAAUCUCUUGGAUCCCGCUCCAAUUCUGCAGCUGUAUCCUAGCAGUUUCUUCCGACAUGGGUACGUAAAUAACCAUGUUUUUCGGGGGUCUUGUGUUUCUCAACUUUGAGCUUUAAGCGCCUCGUGAUUUUUAUCUUGAGGCGCUAUAGAAAUGAUAUUUUCUUCUUCUUCUUCUUCUUCUUCUUCAACUUCCAUAAUUAAUUUAAAGUCAUCCAUCUUAACUGCUUGCCUCAGACUUUCUGCCUCUCUGUCCUGUUUGCUCCGGUGAAAAGACAUCCGAAACCACACCCCCCUUCACGUGGUCACACACGCACACAAGUUCGAUGUGUGUGUGUGUGUGUUCGUGUGGUUUUUCUGCAGUGUCUGAUUACGAACACAUUUGACUAUUGUGGAAUUUUAUUUUGAAAUGCUUUAUUUUGUUAAAUUUACCGGCCUGCCUCUUAUGUCUAGGUUUGACUUCCUGCCAGAAUUGACGCGAUUCAUCCGGCGACCGCCGGCGCUUCGGCGGCCCAUGUGGUCUAUAGAAUAGCUUAACAAGGGCGCCGAAUGAAGGCGGUCCCAUUUUCAUGGUGCUUCGCGGAGCUUCCGCGGCCGGUGUGUCCCCGGCGUAACGCGUUGACCAAUAGCGCUGCGUUAUCACCAGGGGCAGCUGUCAAUCAUCAAGCACAACAGUGCCACGCGCCUCACUCGGCUUACUGCAGAAACAUGGAGCAACAAAACCCCAAAUUACAGAUUCCUUGACUGCCUUCCACAUCUCAAAAAACAUUUAAAAAGUUUAAAAGCCCUUCUUCAAAAGUGGCUGUAAGACGUUUAAGACAGUCGAGUAGAAUUUACAUUGGAGAUUGUUUUACACACGAUGGAGAGAUUUUCGUGAUCUACGCGGCCUGAAAACGGAUGAAGAGUUGGCAAAGUAUCUUUUGGACAGGUAAGCUAUUUAUUGUUUUUUGGAUGAAUUUACUUAAAAUCUUUCUUUCACUGAAAGAAGUAAUAGAGCAAUCAAGCUUUGUAUGCUUGGUGUCCUAUUGGCUAAUGUAGCAUUAGCUUGAAUGCUAAGUCGACAUGAAUCGAUGCUAGUCAAACUAUUUAUGCUUUAUUUGGAAGAAGUUUGAGUAACGAAAGGGGAUUUUAGUGUUUUAUUAUAUGGGAGCUAAUGAUUAGUGUGGCGUUUAACUAUAGGCCGUAUCACUGUAUUGUUUUAAGCUCUUGUAUAUGACUUCAGCGUUAGCGGGGUUCAGUUAGCAUCUUGAACGCUGAAUUAGAUGUUUACACUUUCCUGAGCUGCGUGUUUGAUUAAAAUGAGUAAUCAGCAGCUCAUGUAGCACUUGUAGAAGUCUGAGGAGAUGAUUCAGCAGUUAGAAUUGGGUGUGAUUGAUCAGCAACGUAUCCAAAACCUUACGUUUCCAUUAGCACUGAAAGACAUAUUGUGCUAACCUGGGUGGGCCACGUGUACAGAUUACUGUCUGAUUUUGUGGUCUUACCUACGUGAAAACUCCAUAUUAAAAUAAAAGGAAUGAUAAUCAGCUCGUGCAGAAAUCUGUGAAGGCUGGGGAGACUUGUUUUAUUACAGUGGAACAAAGAUAUCUGUAACCAUUUUUGGUUUUGCUGCAAGUCGGCGAACACUUAUGAGUUUUUUGACAUGUGGAUCGGUCUACUCCAUCAUGUGACUGGAGAACAUGAGUGGUCUCUGGAUGCUUGUCAGCAUGAUCCUUUACUAAGUGACAGAGAGAAAGACUGGAUUCAGAAAGGCUCCACUCCACACAAAGCCCUCAGUGACAUCAUUCUCAGUGAACGCUGGCUGAAAGAAGUCCCAAAAUAUUUGAAAUUCAGCAAAUUUGGAGGCGUUUCACAACCAUCUCCUAAUGUAUGCAAGCAAAAGAUUCAGUUACAUCCCACCUGUUUACGAGGCACGGAUACUGCUUGCUGCACUGGACUACAAUCACCACUCACAUCGAGAAGUGAAGAGGAGAGCAGAUGGAUCGAUACAGUAUGUAUUUAUUUAUUUAUAUUUUAAAUGAAACAUACACUCAUGAAUUCAUAAUUCACUGGUCCAGUUUUAGUCAUUUUUUAUUAACAACUUCCUCAGAUGAACAACCACAACGCUCCUAACUGCUACAUAUUGGUUUAACAACAUGCUGUCAAGUGGCCAACUGUAGAAUCACAGAAACACCACAUUUUCAAUAAUAGUGCCUCCAGGUGGGGCUUACCUAAAUUACUUUUAAUUUAAAACACUUUUUCAGCUAAUUUGUUGUAUACUACAAGUUAGAGCCCUGCACGGGCCUAAAAUCUGAGCCCAUGUCCGGCCCGGCCCGAGAGGGUGGAGCCUCAGCCCGACCCGGUCCAAAAAGGUUUUCAGGAUUCUCCGGCCCGACCCGAGCCCGACUUUUUUUAACCAACUAAAUGAAAACAAAGUGCGUCAAUCCUGACCAAUGUGUUAAAAGACGUGCAGGAUCUGAUCAAUUUGUUUUUCCCUCAUUUACCGUCACGGAGAUAACAGCUCAGUGCGGCUCUGGUGGUAAUCUAGUUAAAUUUUAUCUCUUUCCAACAAUUUUCACAAGAAAACAGAACAGUUAAAAGCAGGGCUUGUGUUGACCGGAUAGUUCCCGUAUUUGACGGUUUAUUUUGACGGAGAAAGAAUAGAAAGAAUUACCCCGACGCAUGCAGACGAACUGACAUUUUAUUCUACGCACAUUGCAGAUGUAGCUAAAUCACGCAAGAAAAGAUUCCCAUCUGAACAUCUGAGCUGCUCAGCGCAGCUCGCUGUCAGCACAUAGGUGCACAGCGAGCUGAAGUUGUGGAGAUUGGCUUGGAGCGCGUCGCAGAACUAGAGCCCAUGCGGGAAGGUUCCUCCCACUGAAGCGAGUGUUUUCCAAACCCUGUCUCUCAGAGAGACUUGUCACUUAGAAAAUGUUUCCUGAUUAUGAAACUUUGGCUGAAUAGCGCUUGUUCCUGUCUCCAAUGUGGCGACACAUCCAGGAGCCGUCUGAGGAGAAGCCCAGAAUCUCACAUCCUCUUCAGCUCAGAAUGCGACCGAUAUGAUUACGCACAAGCGUGACCCGUCAACCCGGUCUCACAGUAAGACUGGGUUGGACCUGUUCAGGUUUACGCAGACAAUCUUUACAUUUAGAAUUGGCAUACAGAUGUAAAAUUAAUGCAGUAAAAUAUAAAGCUUUUUAUUUAAAUAUCCAUUCAUUAUUUUACAAGCACACAGAGCCGCAUCAGAUUCAGAUCAGCGGGAAGAUCAGUCGGAGGAAUCUUCCCGCAUGCGCUCUGGUUCUGCGACGUGCUCCAAGCCCCUCUCCACAUCUUCAGCUCGCUGUGUACCUUAUGUAGUACACGCUGACAGUGAGCUGGGCUGAGCUCAGUGUCCAGCUCAGAUGUUCAGAUGGGAAUCUUUUCUUGGGUGAUUUAGCUACAUCUGUGAUGUGCGAAACGAAUACAAUGUCAGUUCGUCUGCAUGCGUCGGGGUCAUUCUUUCUAUUCUUUCUCCGUCAAAAUAAACGGUCAAAUAUGGGAACUAUCCGGUCAACGCAAGCCCUGCUUUUAACUGUUCUGUUUUCUUGUGAAAAUUGUUGCAAAGAGAUAUAAUUUAACUUAAUUACCACCAGAGCCAGGCGCACUGCGCCGUUAUCUCCGUCACUGUAAAUGAGGGGAAAACAAAAUGAUCGGAUCCUUUUCUGACCUUCCCCACCUACAAAGUUUAAUUACAACAAUCAAACAUGACAGAGCCUGGAUUUGUAUUCUGAACAGUCUAAACAUGUUUUAAAAAGAAACAUAUGACAAAAGUGGCACCUGCUCAGUAAAACCACCAACAGGGUGAAAAAUAUCUAAAUAUUGUAGCAGAGACGGGCUACAACUUCUGGAUCUAUUUUAUAUAAAGCGUUUUAUUGAUUAUCUUCUUAUGAAAGAUUACUUUGACGUACACGAGCGACCGGUACUGGCUGCUGUCACCUGUUGUGAGCAGCGCUCUGCUGUCUGAGGGUAGGCCCUGCCCACAACGCCGCGGCUGCUGUGGCUCCCAGUGUUUUCUUUACUGUGGGAAACGGGUAAUAAUGGCUCUUUGAUGGGAACAGGUUGCCGACCCCUGGUUUAAGUGUUUCAAAUUUUUUUAAUGAAUUCGAUUAAAAAUAAAGGAGCCCGGCCCGUGUCCGAGGUAAUUACACAGUCGUUGGCCCGAAGCCCGGCCCGAGGGCCGUCAGGCCGGGCCGACCCGAGGGCCUAGGGCUUCAGUGCAGGGCUCUACU